RNAcentral lists this ribosomal RNA (282 nucleotides) under uncultured bacterium. RNAcentral describes it as "partial 16S ribosomal RNA". It matches the Rfam family "Bacterial small subunit ribosomal RNA", at positions 773 to 1060 of the family's 1533-position model. The record is from RNAcentral.
GUGGAUUAGAUACCCUAGUAGUCCACGCCGUAAACGAUGCUAACUCGUUUUUGGGACUUCGGUUUCAGAGACUAAGCGAAAGUGAUAAGUUAGCCACCUGGGGAGUACGUUCGCAAGAAUGAAACUCAAAGGAAUUGACGGGGGCCCGCACAAGCGGUGGAUUAUGUGGUUUAAUUCGAUGAUACGCGAGGAACCUUACCAAGGCUUAAAUGGGAAUUGACAGGUUUAGAAAUAGACUUUUCUUCGGACAAUUUUCAAGGUGCUGCACGGUUGUCGUCAGCU